Molecule: long non-coding RNA, 2978 nt
Filed under: Homo sapiens (human)
Lineage: Eukaryota; Metazoa; Chordata; Mammalia; Primates; Hominidae
Description: HSALNT0301384
Source: RNAcentral
CCUCUCUCCACGUCCACGGCGCCGAGUCUCGCCACGGUGGCGCAGGCGCCAGGGAGGUUCCCCGGCUUUGCCGCGCGGAGGAAGUCCCGGUUACGCAGAGCGCGCUGGGGCAGGGCUGACCUUCCCCUUUCUCUACUUCACUGGCCUCCUCCAGACGUGGUGGUUGCGCCCUUUCGGCCUCGCUUUCCGUUUUUUGGCUUCAUCCCCUAGAUCUGCAAACAGUUCCUCGUGUUUCUUCCGUUAGCCGGGAAACGCGAACUGCAGCGUUUGGGACCCGGGUUUGCGCGUGUGGAAAGCAAAAGGGGUUACUCUGCUGGAGUUCGACAUUGCAAAUAAAGGUCUUUAUCCCCGGCGGUUCUACAAAAUUAGUUCUGCAGGGAUUCUGGUUGAAAGAAGCGUUAAAGUGGGCCUUGUAGGAGUCAGCAAUAAUCCAAUUUUACAUGGGUGCAGGUGGCUGCCUGUGUCUAGCGCUUUCACACAUCUCAUAUCUUCAUCCACGCCGUGGGUAUUUUUUUUCCACGGUGUGUUUCUGUUGCUGCCUCCAGUAUAUUGCUUAAUCAUCCUACCUGGUAAUUAUUUAUGCAUUUUUCUCCUACUCUCGACUCAGCUCCUAGGGAAUAAAAACACAUUAACUUAUCUUUGUGCCCACAGCACCCACCAAGUAUUUCCAUCACGUAAUACUGCCUCUAGAAAGGCAGGAGGAGAAGCAGUCACGCUAAGGAUCUAGGCAAGCCAGAUCUUUUGUCCGGUUUUAGGAGGUGGCCAGCCCUUACUUAUUCCACAAGUGUUUUUCCAGAAACUCAGACUUGAUAUUGCCUCAAGUCCAAGGCAGUGUGCUUCCCCCACUCACAUAUCACUAAUAGUAGCUAACAUUUGUUCAGAUCCCUGUAUGUACUCUGCCACUGUUUUAAAUGUUACACCCGGGUUACCUCAUUUAAUCCUUACAACUGCCCUGUGAGGUAGGUACUAUUAUUAUCUCUACUUUGUAGAUGGGAUUCACCGAGGCACAGACGGUUAAAAAACCUAGCCCAAAUAACACAAAUAAACAGCAGAGCAUGCAGUGCUAGAGUCUGCAUUCUUAACAAUUGCUAUAUUCUCCCUCUCCGUGAAUGUGGGCUGAGAUGCUGAAACAGGCAUGUGCUGUGGGGGAGAAAAAGCUUUGUCCAACCAAGUGCUUUCUAAUGUCCAGAUGACAUAGAGCUAGGAUUUCCUAAUGUCUUUUUUCCCCUAUUUUUCUCUCCAUUUCAGGGUUGAGUUUGUGCAUCGAUUGUGAACACAACAGGCAGCAGGCUAUAAUGGUGGUCCUGGCUGGAGUAGUUUUCACAGACUUCAGUAAUCUGUGGAGAUGAACGGGCAGUUCUCUGUAGUUUUCACAGAUCACUGCCAGUUCGUUUUGAGGCCUUCAGGAGUGAAGACCUGGCUCAUCAUCACUCUUUGUUGUUUUGUUAAAUUUAUUUACACCCUACUUUAUUCCAGAGGAAAGGAUUUAACGUAGUUUACAUAAAUGUGUACAUCAGGGUAAAUUAAAAAUAAGUACAGAGAAAAAUAGGACAAAAGAAAACCGUGAGUGUGAAAGAUAAGAUUAAGCCAGCAGUUUUGUAUGCAAAAUGCAUGGUGUAAGGUCCUAUUGGUUUGCUGGAGGUAGGCCACACAUAUGACUCUCAGUUUUCUAGCAACCAAGAAAAAGAUCAGUUGCAAUCGGAGUAGGUGUUUUGGCUAAGCUGGAACUAGGACUUGAAUAUAGCAGCUUGUAGAGUUAUACCACUUGCCCAAAUCUCUUCCAUGAGCCUCUUUAAGUGUAACAGAAUGCCUGGGAGCACGUAAAUGCUCCUACUUAGAUGCCUACUUAGCCUCUAAUUUUCAUGGGGCCCAUGAAUCCCAUGAAAAAGAACUUUGAACCCUGUCCACAAUUAGAGUUCAGGUAUACGCAGACAUGUUUAAAGACAAGGGACACCCAAAGGAAAGAUUGCACAGAGAGAAAGUGAGCAUCCGAGAGAAAAUCACCACAAGUGAGGCAGAGGGAGGCCGGUCUCAGCAGAGUUUUGGAGGUCGUGAGAAGAAGAGGUAGGAGAUAGGAGAGUGGUUCCGAGUACUUGCCUGCUGAUGUUACCUUCUCCACCCCCACCAGGUUUUCCAGUGCCUGGAGUCUUGGGCAGGAAUGGGCCACUGUAAGAAAGAGCUUUAUCACUAGGGCCUCAGCCAACUUUUCUGUGGGAUAUCCCUCCAAAAUAAUUAAGAGUUCAGAAUGCUUCAGAUUUUGAAGUGAAACUGGUACAUAUAUUAAGUGUUACUUAAUAACCCGAUAGUUUCUAGGGCAGCUCACCAUAAUCCCAAGUAUUAGCCACCACCCUCACCCCCUUCAGAGUAAAAUGUGUUUCCUGAAGGAAGUUGGGAAAAUGAAGAAAAAAAAUACAAAAAUCACCUAUAAUCUUACCAGUCAUAGAUGGCAGUUUUCCUGUCUUAUUUCUGAAUAAUGGUUGUUAAACAUUUGCCAGCACACCAUAAGGCUUAGGGAGGCAUCUGGGUCAUGCAUGUUAAUAUCCUUGGGUAAUUCCAGAAAUCUCUAUGAAGGGAAACUCCUGUUAUUUAUCUAGACUUCCUGAUUGCAAGGGGUUUGGGCAUCAUGAUUUAGGGGUCUUAAUAAAAUUAUUAUUUUAUUUUUACUAAUAGAUAAUGUCUGUGCCUAUCAGAUAAAGGCAAACCAGUGCUCAGAGGAACCCAACCAUCUCUGAAUUGAGACCAGAGAGCUGUCUCUAUGGAUAGUCCUUAGAGAAGGCAUUUCGGAACACAGUAAACAGCAGCCUGGUGACUCCGAUUACAGGGCCAGUUGCCUUUGUUACAAUAAAAGCAAGUCAUCUACACAGAUUUUUCCUACCAGGAAGAGCAUGUGCUGACCAACAGACAUGAAUUUCAGCCUGGUAGUUACAACAUUCACAGGAGUUUCACUCGUUGCCCAGGCUGGAGUGCAACGGCGCGAU